GAAAAAAGAAACGAAAAAGCAGAGAAAGAAAAAACAAAAAAAAACAGAUCUAAAAGAGAGCAGCUGCCAACUUUCUUCUCGUUCCUAAAAGAAAACACCAUGGCUGAAACAUGCCUUCCUCCCCCAAAAUUCAGCCAUUAAAACUCACCUAAAGCUUCCAUGAGAAUGACCCAAAACGCUGCUAGAAAUCAGCUGCGUCAAACGACAAAAACGGUCAUGAAAAGCAGUUCUUUAGCCCCAUAUAUGACGCCAAAAACCAGUCAGAACUCAGCAGCUUUUUAGCUCUUAAACUACCCCAAACCAUCCCUCUUUUUGUAAAUUUUCACUCCCAAAACCAGCACAAACAAAUUAUCUUUUUCACGCCCCAAAACCACCCUAAACCACCGUGAAACACCCCCUAAAACUCGAACUCAAACCAGCCACCAUCCUCCAUGAAAAUCAGUUGUAAAUCCCUCUUAUACUAGCUGAAAAAUACCAUGAAAAGCAACUCCAAGAUAACUCCAGCUGUUGAGAUUUAGCUAAGGUCGUUCGAGGUUGUCGUUCGAGUUUCCGCUCAAAGGCGUUCAAGCUAUUUUGUUGUUCGUCACUCAAGUUUAUGCCGGCUUUACUCUACUGUAAAUCUCACUUGGAGUUUUCCAGUUAAUCAAGUUAUGGAAAAUUAUUUGGCUUAAAGAUUCAGGCGUAGCUGGUCCCACCUUCGAGUGUUGAUUCAUUCCAGCUUCAAGCGGAUCUUCGAUGAGUCUUUAGGUAGCUAUUGGCAUUCGCAGCUUGGAGCUCCUCCCUAUCUCUUUCCUUUAUGUUCUUAGUUCAGUAUUUAAAACUCUGUAGUUACAUUUGAGGAUUCAGUAUUGUUAGAUGCUCGUGACUUGUGACACCCCGGUUAGGGCUGUGUUGGGUUGUACUUUCGCACCUUAUUGAUAUUAUCCGCUACUUAUUAUCAUUAAAUCAUGUUUUCGACUA
This is a non-coding RNA of Nicotiana tabacum (common tobacco), 960 nucleotides long. The record is from RefSeq and is a predicted model, not a curated record. Lineage: Eukaryota; Viridiplantae; Streptophyta; Magnoliopsida; Solanales; Solanaceae.